This 525-nucleotide ribosomal RNA is filed under the name Triticum aestivum (bread wheat). RNAcentral describes it as "partial small subunit ribosomal RNA". The record is from RNAcentral. Lineage: Eukaryota; Viridiplantae; Streptophyta; Magnoliopsida; Poales; Poaceae.
AUGGAUCCGGUGCUGCGGGGUGCGGCGAGCCUCGGUGGCGGCCAUGGCCAAGGUGGCACGGGAGGAGGAGGGGGAGGGGGAGGCGAGGCGCACUACAGGGGCGUGAGGAAGCGGCCGUGGGGACGGUACGCGGCCGAGAUCCGCGACCCGUGGAAGAAGACGCGGGUGUGGCUGGGCACCUUCGACACCCCCGUGGAGGCCGCCCUCGCCUACGACCGCGCCGCGCGAACCCUCCGCGGCGCCAAGGCCAAGACCAACUUCCCCGACCACGCCCACCACCACCACCACCGCCCGCCUAUGCAGCAGCCUGUUCCGUUCGGCGGCGUCGACCUCAACUUCCCUUCGCCGUGGCACUUCGUCUACUUCUCGCGGCCGCCGGCCGCGCCGGCGCCCCGUCUUCCGCAAGAAGCGUCUCCAGCGGUCUCCGUCCCGCCGUCGACGGCGCUCGAGCUCGGCGUGGCGCCCGGGCCCGCCGGCCUCCCGUUCGACCUCAACGAGCCGCCGUCGCUGCUGUUCGGGUCGUGA